Molecule: ribosomal RNA, 498 nt
Filed under: uncultured bacterium
Lineage: Bacteria
Description: partial 16S ribosomal RNA
Rfam family: Bacterial small subunit ribosomal RNA
Source: RNAcentral
AUUGAACGCUGGCGGCAUGCCUUACACAUGCAAGUCGAACGGUAACAGGUCUUCGGAUGCUGACGAGUGGCGAACGGGUGAGUAGUACAUCGGAACGUGCCUAGUAGUGGGGGAUAACUACUCGAAAGAGUGGCUAAUACCGCAUGAGAUCUACGGAUGAAAGCAGGGGAUCGCAAGACCUUGUGCUACUAGAGCGGCCGAUGGCAGAUUAGGUAGUUGGUGGGAGAAAAGCUUACCAAGCCGACGAUCUGUAGCUGGUCUGAGAGGACGAUCAGCCACCCGGGGACUGAGACACGGCCCAGACUCCUACGGGAGGCAGCAGUGGGGAAUUUUGGACAAUGGGCGAAAGCCUGAUCCAGCAAUGCCGCGUGCAGGAUGAAGGCCUUCGGGUUGUAAACUGCUUUUGUACGGAACGAAAAGCCCCGGGUUAAUACCCUGGGGUCAUGACGGUACCGUAAGAAUAAGCACCGGCUAACUACGUGCCAGCAGCCGCCGUAA